GCUGCUCUCUAGAGGUCAUGCUGCUGUGAAAGAACAUCCUCCUGCUGCAGCAUGAGUGCCUGGGCUCAGGGGAGGAUACUGCAGGAUCUCACUGCAUUGGAAUGUGAUCAACCAGCAGCUGGCUGGUCACUGGCUAACCUUGUCGUCGUCCAGGGAAGCGAACAUGAUGGCCGAUACUAAACUGAAGUCAGACUUGCUAAGGUGAUCGCAGUGAGUUGCAGAAGGAAAUAGCAGCUUUAAAUCCCUGAUCUGGAGGAAGAGGAAUGCAGGAUCGGACCCCAAGAAAGGUGAUGGCUAGAGGCCUGAGGCCUGAAUGGGGUGCCCUC
RNA transcript from Terrapene triunguis (Three-toed box turtle), 326 nucleotides. RefSeq lists it as uncharacterized. Lineage: Eukaryota; Metazoa; Chordata; Testudines; Emydidae. The transcript is spliced from 3 exons. The record is from RefSeq and is a predicted model, not a curated record.